Molecule: unclassified non-coding RNA, 302 nt
Organism: Erinaceus europaeus (western European hedgehog)
Lineage: Eukaryota; Metazoa; Chordata; Mammalia; Eulipotyphla; Erinaceidae
Gene: 7SK
Rfam family: 7SK RNA
About the family: 7SK was discovered as an abundant small nuclear RNA in the mid-70s but a possible function has only recently been suggested. Two independent studies have found that 7SK RNA binds the CDK9/cyclin T complex (known as elongation factor P-TEFb).
Source: Ensembl
AGAUGUGAGGGUGGUCAGGCUGCAACCUCUGUCACCCCAUUGAUCACCAGGAUUGAUUCAGCUGAUCUGGCUGGCUAGGCAGGUGUCCCUUUCCUCCUCACCACACCAUGUACAUCCCUCCCAAAGCUGCGUAUUUGGCCAAAGAGGACGGCCCACCCUGAAUAGAGAUGGAUGGUUUUCAGUCAGGGGUAUAUGAUUAACUGCGCUCCCUUGCUAGAACCUCCAAACAAGUUCUCAAAUAUGGUGGGGGCUGAGAGCUUGAACCCAGGUCCUUGCGCAUAGUGAUAUAUCGACUCUGCUGU